Molecule: ribosomal RNA, 252 nt
Filed under: uncultured bacterium
Lineage: Bacteria
Description: partial 16S ribosomal RNA
Rfam family: Bacterial small subunit ribosomal RNA
Source: RNAcentral
UACGUAGGGUGCGAGCGUUACUCGGAAUUACUGGGCGUAAAGCGUGCGCAGGCGGCUUUGCAAGACAGAUGUGAAAUCCCGGGCUCAACCUGGGAACUGCAUUUGUGACUGCAAGGCUAGAGUACGGCAGAGGGGGAUGGAAUUCCGCGUGUAGCAGUGAAAUGCGUAGAUAUGCGGAGGAACACCAAUGGCGAAGGCAAUCCCCUGGGCCUGUACUGACGCUCAUGCACGAAAGCGUGGGGAGCAAACAGG